RNAcentral lists this long non-coding RNA (5314 nucleotides) under Homo sapiens (human). RNAcentral describes it as "HSALNT0117322". Lineage: Eukaryota; Metazoa; Chordata; Mammalia; Primates; Hominidae. The record is from RNAcentral.
CUCGGGGUCAGCCCCCCCAGCCUGCGGGGCUCCGUGGGCCUCCAGCACUGCACACGUGUCACUGGGGUGCGCGACGGGCCCUUCCCUGAGCCCCUUUCCAUGGAGCCCAGGCCCCAACGGCGGCAGCUGCCCCUGCCUGACAUCCGGACCCAGCCUCACCUCUCCUUUCACAGCGAGCCCUGCUGGCACUGGGGGCCUGCAUUCCAGUUUUCCUCCCCAGCUGUGGGAUGCUGUUGGCGCCUUGGUGCCAGCCGCUGAGGUGAGCAGGUGGGUGAGGGGCUCCGUGAAGCUCUGGCAUCUGGUGUCCGGCCCAGGACUUGGGGGUGCUGGCCUCGCCGCCUGGCCGGGUCAUACAUAAGGGGUCGGUCAGCUCUGCCCCAGGCCAGGAUGCUGCUGGGCCCACAGCCGCCCCAGGACCCCCUCAGCCCAGGUGCCCUCCCUCAGUGCUCAGUUCCGGGGAUGACUGUGUCCCCCACCCCGUCACGCUGCUCAGCGAGCACCCUGUAAUCCCAUAUGGUAACUCAUGAAUCUACCCACUAAGAAACCACAACAUGUGAUUCCUCGAGGGAGGCUGGGGGGUAGUCGCGGAGUCGUGGCUGGGCCCAGCCGCGGACUCAGGUCUGUGAUGGGCUAACCUGUGCCCCCACAUCCGCAGGUGGGCGGCCUGACCCUAGACUCAGAGCGUGACUUCUUUGGAGACAGGGUCAUUGAAGGUGUGUGUGACGAUGAGGCCACGGGGUCACCCCUGACCAGUGUGACCAGUGUCCUUAUAAAAGGGGCGUGGACCCAGGCGGGCCUAGAGGGAUGGUGGCACAGAGGCAGGAGAAAAUGCCCACCAAAGCCCAGGAGGAGGCCUGGGACAGGCCCUUCCCGGCGCCUUCAGAGGGAGCCUGGCCCUGCCAGAUGCCUGGUCUCACGUCGGCCUCCAGGACUGCGAGACCUUCCUGCUGUGUGGGUGCCCAGUGCCAGCACUUGCUAAGGGUCCCCAGCCCCAGGAAAGCAGUGCCGUCCCCUGAGCCAAGUGGACCUCUCUCUGCUUCUGUGGCUUCUCUAUAUUUAGUUAUCAUGUUUCAAAGGCUUAUCAAAUCCCUGGGCAUAAAACGUUUUACGAAUCUGUCUAAAUAACGUUCCAAGGUGUCUCAUACUCGACGGAAUCUUGGACGGUGCUGCCCCUUGCAGGUGGCUGGGACUGCCUGGGUACAGCCUCUCCUUGGUUUUCAGCUUGGCUCUGCCUUCACCCCACAUGGGGUUCCGUCUGGCCCUAGCGGGGAGGGUGCUUGGCUCGGGCAGUGGGCUGGGCGGCCCCUGGCCCAGGACGGCUCUGGAGAAUAAGGAGGCCACCACAGGCCGGUAGGCCUGAGACCUCUGCCCCUUCUGAGGCCGCGGGGUUGAGCAGCUGAGCAGCUGACUCUCCCAUGGUCAGUGAGGGCUCAGCAUUUUCUCUUCUGGUUGAAAUAGAAACUGGGAAGUUGGAGGCCAAGAUUGAGGGGCAGGCGGAGGUGGUUCUCCUGCCAAGCUUCCUAAACGGCAGAAGCAGCAGAAGCAGCUAGGGUUAGUGUUGGCUUCUCUCUCUCUCUCUCUCUCUCUCUCUCUCUCUCUCUCUGUGUCUCUCUGUCUCUCUCUGUCUCUCUCUCUCUGUGUCUCUCUCUCUCUGUCUCUGUCUCUCUGUCUCUCGGUCUCUCUGUCUCUGUCUCUCUGUCUCUGUCUCUCUCUCUCUGUCUCUCUCUCUCUCUCUCUCAUUUAUUUCUAGAGCAUUUACAAAUUAAUUUUCCUGGUCUAAACCGGGAGGGGCUGCCAUGAUAAAAUGAAGCUGUUUGGUGUUCCAUGUCGAUCUCCCUGAGACAAUGCACUCCUGAGCCUGCUGGGCCCUGCCUCACAGCUGAGUCCUGGUCAGGGCCCUGCCCCUUCUUCCUCUCCCUUGGCCCUGGUUCCACAGAGACCUAUUUCUCCAGGGCAUCCAGGAAGCACCUACGGUGAUGGGGGAUUGCAUUUCAGCAGCAAUCCAUGUGUGAACAUUAAAACGAUCUCCUUAAAUAUUCAUGGUGACCAUGACCUCAUCUGGCUGCCUCGGGCCAGGGCUGGGUGCAGGUCAGGGAAGGGGGCUCAGGCCCUGAGACCCCAGCCUGGUCCCCAGCAAUACAGCUCCCCUCUGUCCUCUCCUCUCUGAGUCAACCCCUCCUGAGAGCUCCGAUGUCUCCUCUCUGGGGUGGCAGAGGUGGGGGCUGCUUUCCAAGCAAAGAAAUGCUCUGGGGCCACGUGGGAAUAAAUAUUUCAUGGGAGAGCAGACCUAGCCAGUAAAAAAUUAAGCAGCUUUACAUCAUCAGAGAGAGAAAGAAAGGGUUGCCUCAUGUUAUGAGUCUGCUGGUGUCCUUAGGACAGAGACAGGGAGACUGAGGUUUUGGGGUAAAUUAUUUAGGGUGUUGUAGGCUGGUCUAGGAAUGUUAAGCUGAAAUGAGACCGGCCCUGGAAGACGACAGGGGGAGCUGGGGUAAGAAGUGCUGCCUUAUGGAAGGCGUGGCGUGCAGAGACGCUGGCCACGAGGAACCCUUUCCCCGUGCACCUGCGCAGUAGCGCCUGCCUCGCGGGAGGCCCCACAGAUGUUGUUGAAUAAAGGGGCAGUGAGUCAGUGAGGCCAUUUCAGCCAUUUUUCUGUUGCCGCCUCACUCUGGAUUUAUGAAAGUACUUGCUAAUCGACGAUCGUCUUCGCCCGGCAUGCUGCAAAUUCACGUUUAUAUGCCCCCUGCCUCCCCCAAAUCAGCUACGGCAGAGUCAGGGGCAGGGACGGGUGGGCAUGGCCGGGCAGCUGCUCGGCUGCGUCACGCCGGGGGUGGCUGGAGCUGAUUCGGAAGCAGUGAAAUGUGGGCCCGCGUGGCUUCCCUGGAAAGAAAACAGGUCCUUGCCUAGAAAUUCAGUGGGUGACCUAAGAUGAUUGAGGGCUGUGUCCAUGUAAAUUUUUCAGUAAGGUGAGGGGCCAGUUUGUCAGUAAACUCCCUGGUGCUGUAAUUAGGGGGCUAUGUUCAGGAACUGGCUUCCUAAUGUGCAUUGAGGGCAGUGCUGACGCAGCCCAUGUACAUGCUAAAUACACGUGGGAGUGUUUGUGAAGAGACAGGCCUGCACAACACAGGGGACCUGACACUGAGCAUCCAUGUGGCCCUUUCUGGUACCCAGAACUGUGCACCCCCCUGUGCAGCAUCUCACAGGACUAAACAGACAGUAACACAACCCCGAACAGACAGUAAAAACCCGGAACAGAGAGGAACAACCCUGAACAGACAGUAACAACCCGGAACAGAGAGGAAGAACCCCAAACAGGCAGUAACAACCCCCAACAGGCAGUAACAACCCCGAACAGAGAGUAACAACCCUGAACAGAGAGGAACAACCCCGAACUGAGAGGAACAACCCUGAACAGACACUAACAACCCAGAACCAGGCAGUUACAAGCCUGAACAGACAGUAACAACCGGGAACAGACAGUAACAACCCUGAACAGACAGUAAAAACCCGGAACAGAGAGGAAGAACCCCAAACAGGCAGUAACAACCCCCAACAGGCAGUAACAACCCCGAACAGAGAGGAACAAUCCCAAACAGGCAGUAACAACCCCGAACAGAGAGGAACAACCCCGAACUGAGAGGAACAACCCCAAACAGGCAGGAACAACCCUGAACAGACACUAACAACCCAGAACCAGGCAGUUACAAGCCUGAACAGACAGUAACAACCGGGAACAGACAGUAACAACCCUGAACAGACAGUAAAAACCCGGAACAGAGAGGAAGAACCCCAAACAGGCAGUAACAACCCCCAACAGGCAGUAACAACCCCAAACAGAGAGGAACAAUCCCAAACAGGCAGUAACAACCCCGAACAGAGAGGAAGAAUCCCAAACAGGCAGUAACAACCCUGAACAGACAGUAAAAACCCCGGAACAGGGAGGAACAACCCCAAACAGGCAGGAACAACCCCAAACAGGCAGUAACAACCCUGAACAGAGAGUAACAACCCCGAACAGACAGUAACAACCCCGAACAGGCAGUAACAACCCCAAACAGAGAGGAACAACCCUGAACAGACAGUAACAACCCUGAACAGACAGUAAAACCCCAGAACAGAGAGGAACGAACCCAAACAGGCAGGAACAACCCUGAACAGGCAGUAACAACCCUGAACAGAGAGUAACAACCCUGAACAGACAGUAACAACCCAGAACAGGGAGGAACAACCCGGAACAGAGAGGAACAACCCCAAACAGGCAGGAACAACCCCAAACAGGCAGUAACAACCCCGAACAGAGAGUAACAACCCCGAACAGACAGUAACAACCACGAACAGGCAGUAACAACCCCGAACAGAGAGGAACAACCCUGAACAGGCAGUAACAACCCUGAACAGACAGUAAAACCCCAGAACAGAGAGGAACAACCCCAAACAGGCAGGAACAACCCUGAACAGGCAGUAACAACCCUGAACAGAGAGUAACAACCCUGAACAGACAGUAACAACCCAGAACAGGGAGGAACAACCCCAAACAGGCAGGAACAACCCCAAACAGACAGUAACAGCCCUGAACAGAGUGUAACAACCCCGAACAGAGAGGAACAACACCGAACAGGCAGUAACAACCCCGAACAGAGAGUAACAACCCCGAACAGAGAGGAACAACCCCAAAUAGUCAGUAACAAUCCCGAACAGGCAGUAACAACUCCGAACAGAGAGUAACAACCCCGAACAGAAAGUAACAACCCCGAACAGAGAGUAACAACCCCGAACAGGCAGUAACAAUCCGGAACAGAGAGUAACAACCUGGAACAGGCAGUAACAACUCGGAACAGGCAGUAACAGCCCUGAACAGGCAGUAACAACCCGGAACAGAGAGUAACAACCCUGAGCAGGCAGUAACAACCCGGAACAGGCAGUAACAACCCCAGCUAAACCAAUAGAACCGGCCUGGCAGCCACUCCUGUUCCAGUGCAGCACUCCACCAUGCAGAGGGGUCGGAGAAGCAGUUGUAGGUCACAGCAAGGAGUGGGCCGUGGGGAUCAUGGCCAGGUCGUGAAAUCCAAGUGGCACCCGCCAUGGCACCAGCCAGAACAGGUCCCCUCCUUUCCAAAGGGCAGAGCUGGGGCUGGCCCUGGAGAUGCUGGGGUCAGCAAGGGCUGGGGCUGCGCUCCCUCCUGGGUCUGUGUCAAAAGCAGCCAGCACCGAAGCCUGUCCACAUCGGCCAGGCCCUGUGCAAGCCGCGCUUCCCAGCAGACGGCACGGAAUUGCUGGUGAGAGUGGACGCUGGGCCGGAACAGAGCGGCGCUUCCUG